UACAGAGGGUGCAAGCGUUAAUCGGAAUUACUGGGCGUAAAGCGUGCGUAGGCGGCUUCAAAAGUCGGAUGUGAAAUCCCGUGGCUCAACCAUGGACGUGCAUUCGAAACUGCGAAGCUUGAGUAUGGAAGAGGGUCGCGGAAUUCCCGGUGUAGAGGUGAAAUUCGUAGAUAUCGGGAGGAACACCAGUGGCGAAGGCGGCGACCUGGGCCAAUACUGACGCUGAGGUGCGAAAGCGUGGGGAGCAAACAGG
This 253-nucleotide ribosomal RNA is filed under the name uncultured bacterium. Its description in RNAcentral is "partial 16S ribosomal RNA". It matches the Rfam family "Bacterial small subunit ribosomal RNA", at positions 524 to 776 of the family's 1533-position model. The record is from RNAcentral.